UGGCGGCAGGCCUAAUACAUGCAAGUCGAGCGCGCCCUUCGGGGUGAGCGGCGGACGGGUGAGUAACGCGUGGGAAUAUGCCCUUCUCUAAGGAAUAGCCUCUGGAAACGGAGAGUAAUACCUUAUACGCCCUUUGGGGGAAAGAUUUAUCGGAGAGGGAUUAGCCCGCGUUAGAUUAGGUAGUUGGUGGGGUAAUGGCCUACCAAGCCUACGAUCUAUAGCUGGUUUGAGAGGAUGAUCAGCCACACUGGGACUGAGACACGGCCCAGACUCCUACGGGAGGCAGCAGUAGGGAAUCUUAGACAAUGGGGGAAACCCUGAUCUAGCCAUGCCGCGUGUGUGAUGAAGGCCCUAGGGUCGUAAAGCACUUUCGCCAGAGAUGAUAAUGACAGUAUCUGGUAAAGAAACCCCGGCUAACUCCGUGCCAGCAGCCGCGGUAAUACGGAGGGGGUUAGCGUUGUUCGGAAUUACUGGGCGUAAAGCGCACGUAGGCGGAUUAGUAAGUUAGUGGUGAAAUCCCAGGGCUCAACCCUGGAACUGCCUUUAAUACUGCUAGUCUUGAGUUCGAGAGAGGUAAGUGGAAUUCCGAGUGUAGAGGUGAAAUUCGUAGAUAUUCGGAGGAACACCAGUGGCGAAGGCGGCUUACUGGCUCGAUACUGACGCUGAGGUGCGAAAGUGUGGGGAGCAAACAGGAUUAGAUACCCUGGUAGUCCACACCGUAAACGAUGAAUGCCAGACGUCAGCAAGUAUACUUGUUGGUGUCACACCUAACGGAUUAAGCAUUCCGCCU
This 790-nucleotide ribosomal RNA is filed under the name uncultured Alphaproteobacteria bacterium. RNAcentral describes it as "bacterial SSU rRNA". It matches the Rfam family "Bacterial small subunit ribosomal RNA", at positions 37 to 874 of the family's 1533-position model. Lineage: Bacteria; Pseudomonadati; Pseudomonadota; Alphaproteobacteria. The record is from RNAcentral.